UACGAAGGGGGCUAGCGUUGCUCGGAAUCACUGGGCGUAAAGGGUGCGUAGGCGGGUUUUUAAGUCAGAGGUGAAAUCCUGGAGCUCAACUCCAGAACUGCCUUUGAUACUGAAGAUCUUGAGUCCGGAAGAGGUGAGUGGAACUGCGAGUGUAGAGGUGAAAUUCGUAGAUAUUCGCAAGAACACCAGUGGCGAAGGCGGCUCACUGGUCCGGUACUGACGCUGAGGCACGAAAGCGUGGGGA
Molecule: ribosomal RNA, 244 nt
Filed under: uncultured bacterium
Lineage: Bacteria
Description: partial 16S ribosomal RNA
Rfam family: Bacterial small subunit ribosomal RNA
Source: RNAcentral